UACGUAGGGUGCAAGCGUUAAUCGGAAUUACUGGGCGUAAAGCGUGCGCAGGCGGUUAUGCAAGACAGAUGUGAAAUCCCCGGGCUUAACCUGGGAACCGCAUUUGUGACUGCAUAGCUGGAGUACGGAAGAGGGGGAUGGAAUUCCGCGUGUAGCAGUGAAAUGCGUAGAGAUGUGGAGGAACACCGAUGGCGAAGGCAGCCUCCUGGGCCAGCACUGACGCUCAUGCACGAAAGCGUGGGGAGCAAACAGG
This 253-nucleotide ribosomal RNA is filed under the name uncultured bacterium. RNAcentral's name for it is "partial 16S ribosomal RNA". It matches the Rfam family "Bacterial small subunit ribosomal RNA", at positions 524 to 776 of the family's 1533-position model. The record is from RNAcentral.